GAUGAACGCUGGCGGCGUGCCUAAUACAUGCAAGUCGAGCGAACGGACGAGAAGCUUGCUUCUCUGAUGUUAGCGGCGGACGGGUGAGUAACACGUGGAUAACCUACCUAUAAGACUGGGAUAACUUCGGGAAACCGGAGCUAAUACCGGAUAAUAUUUUGAACCGCAUGGUUCAAAAGUGAAAGACGGUCUUGCUGUCACUUAUAGAUGGAUCCGCGCUGCAUUAGCUAGUUGGUAAGGUAACGGCUUACCAAGGCAACGAUGCAUAGCCGACCUGAGAGGGGGAUAGGCCACACGGGAACGGAGCCACGGUCAAGACUACUACGGGAGGCAGCAGUAGGGAAUCUGACGCAAUGGGGGAAAGCCUGACGGAGCAACGCGGCGUGAGUGAUGAAGGCCUUCGGAUCGUAAAACUCUGUUAUUAGGGAAGAACAUAUGUGUAAGUAACUGUGCACAUCUUGACGGUAACUAAUCAGAAAGCCCCGGCUAACUACGUG
Molecule: ribosomal RNA, 497 nt
Filed under: uncultured bacterium
Lineage: Bacteria
Description: partial 16S ribosomal RNA
Rfam family: Bacterial small subunit ribosomal RNA
Source: RNAcentral